Molecule: ribosomal RNA, 1317 nt
Filed under: uncultured bacterium
Lineage: Bacteria
Description: bacterial SSU rRNA
Rfam family: Bacterial small subunit ribosomal RNA
Source: RNAcentral
ACGAAACUUCUUUAUCACCGAGUGCUUGCACUCACCGAUAAAGAGUUGAGUGGCGAACGGGUGAGUAACACGUGGGCAACCUGCCCAAAAGAGGGGGAUAACACUUGGAAACAGGUGAUAAUACCGCAUAACCAUAGUUACCGCAUGGUAACUAUGUAAAAGGUGGCUAUGCUACCGCUUUUGGAUGGGCCCGCGGCGCAUUAGCUAGUUGGUGGGGUAAAGGCUUACCAAGGCAAUGAUGCGUAGCCGAACUGAGAGGUUGAUCGGCCACAUUGGGACUGAGACACGGCCCAAACUCCUACGGGAGGCAGCAGUAGGGAAUCUUCCACAAUGGGCGAAAGCCUGAUGGAGCAACGCCGCGUGGGUGAAGAAGGUGGGGGGAUAAAAAAACCCUGUUGUUUGUGCCGCCCCUGCGUGUGUGUGUCUGUUCUCGUUUCGUCGGUUUCUCUCCUGUUGGCCGCGGCUUUCUNCGUGCCNGCCGCCGCGGUNUUNCGUNGGUGGCGUGCGUUUUCCGGNUUUNUUGGGCGUNNNGGGNNCGCCGGCGGUCUUUUNUGUCUGNUGUGNUUGCCUUCGGCUUNUCCGGUGUNGUGCCUUGCCCCCUGGGUGUCUUGUGUGCUGCCGUCGCGCCUCCCCCUCCAUGUGUGGCGGUGAAAGGCGUAGAUAUAUGGGAGAACACCAGUGGCGAAAGCGGCUCUCUGGUCUGUAACUGACGCUGAGGUUCGAAAGCGUGGGUAGCAAACAGGAUUAGAUACCCUGGUAGUCCACGCCGUAAACGAUGAAUGCUAAGUGUUGGAGGGUUUCCGCCCUUCAGUGCUGCAGCUAACGCAAUAAGCAUUCCGCCUGGGGAGUACGACCGCAAGGUUGAAACUCAAAGGAAUUGACGGGGGCCCGCACAAGCGGUGGAGCAUGUGGUUUAAUUCGAAGCAACGCGAAGAACCUUACCAGGUCUUGACAUCUUUUGACGAUCCUAGAGAUAGGACUUUCCCUUCGGGGACAAAAUGACAGGUGGUGCAUGGUUGUCGUUAGCUCGUGUCGUGAGAUGUUGGGUUAAGUCCCGCAACGAGCGCAACCCUUAUUGUUAGUUGCCAGCAUUAAGUUGGGCACUCUAGCAAGACUGCCGGUGACAAACCGGAGGAAGGUGGGGAUGACGUCAAAUCAUCAUGCCCCUUAUGACCUGGGCUACACACGUGCUACAAUGGACGGUACAACGAGUCGCAAGACCGCGAGGUUUAGCAAAUCUCUUAAAGCCGUUCUCAGUUCGGAUUGUAGGCUGCAACUCGCCUACAUGAAGUCGGAAUCGCUAGUAAUCGCGGAUCA